RNAcentral lists this ribosomal RNA (2130 nucleotides) under marine metagenome. RNAcentral describes it as "bacterial LSU rRNA". It matches the Rfam family "Bacterial large subunit ribosomal RNA", at positions 1 to 2292 of the family's 2925-position model. The record is from RNAcentral.
UUAAGCGUUAAGGGGCGUGUGGCGGAUGCCUUGGCACUGGAAGACGAUGAAGGACGUGGUAUACUGCGAUAAGUUACGGGGAGCUGUAUGCAAGUUUUGAUCCGUAAAUAUCCGAAUGGGGAAACCCAGCACUUUAUGUGUUACUUUAAACUGAAUACAUAGGUUUAAAGAGAUAACCCGGAGAACUGAAACAUCUAAGUAACCGGAGGAAAAGAAAUCAAUUGAGAUUCCGUUAGUAGUGGCGAGCGAAAGCGGAUUAGGCCAGUAGAUUUGUUAAAAAAAUUUGAAUAGUUUGGAAAAGCUAACCACAGAGGGUGAUAGUCCCGUAUGAGUAAUGUUUAACAAGUUUCUUGAGUAAAGCGGGACACGUGAAAUCCUGCUCGAAUAUAGGGGGACCACCCUCUAAGCCUAAAUACUCUUCAGUGACCGAUAGUGAACUAGUACCGUGAGGGAAAGGUGAAAAGAACCCCUAUUAGGGGAGUGAAAUAGAACCUGAAACCGCAUGCCUACAAUCAGUCGAAGCUCUUUUUAGAGUGACGGCGUACCUUUUGUAUAAUGGGUCAGUGACUUAAUUUAUAAAGCAAGCUUAAGCCAUCUAGGUGUAGGCGUAGCGAAAGCAAGUCUUAAUAGGGCGAUUAGUUUUAUGAAUUAGACCCGAAAACGAAUGAGCUUACCAUGAGCAGGUUGAAUGCAAGGUAACACUUGCUGGAGGACCGAACCAGUUGACGUUGAAAAGUCUUUGGAUGACUUGUGGUAAGGGGUGAAAGGCCAACCAAAUUCGUAGAUAGCUGGUUUUCCGCGAAAACUAUUUAGGUAGUGCGUUGAAUAAAUAUGCGUUUAGAGGUAGAGCACUAAAUGGGCUAGGGGGAAGAGAUUCUUACCAAACCUAAUAAAACUCCGAAUGCUGAACGUAGUUCUUCAACAGACAGACUGUGGGUGCUAAGGUCCAUGGUCGAGAGGGAAAGAGCCCAGACCACCAGAUAAGGUCCCAAAAUUGUGAUUAAGUGUGAAAGGAUGUGGAAAUUCCUUAACAGCCGGGAGGUUGGCUUAGAAGCAGCCAUCCUUUAAAGAUAGCGUAACAGCUCACCGGUCUAAUAGAGUUUCUGCGCCGAAGAUGUAACGGGGCUAAAAUCACAUACCGAAUCUGUGGGUUUAUAAAGUUUUCGAACUUUAUAAGCGGUAGCGGAACGUUCUGUAAGCCUGUAAAGGGAUACCCGUGAGGGAUCCUGGAGGUAUCAGAAGUGCGAAUGCUGACAUGAGUAACGAUAAAAGAAGUGAAAAACUUCUUCGCCGAAAAUCCAAGGGUUUCUGCGCAAGGUUAAUCCGCGCAGAGUUAGUCGGCCCCUAAGGCGAGGGCGAAAGCCGUAGUCGAUGGAAAUAAGGUUAAUAUUCCUUAACCAGAUGGUAGUGACGGAUUUUGUAAGUUGUGUGUUCUUAAUGGAUUGAACAUGCCGCGAAAAAGUCCCAGGAAAUAGCUCCAUCAUUAGACCGUACCCUAAACCGACACAGGUGGAUUAAUAGAGUAUAUUUAGGCGCUUGAGAGAAUGAUGUUGAAGGAACUCGGCAAAAUGCUUCUGUAACUUCGGAAUAAAGAAGACCUUUUAGUGGGCAACCAUUAGAGGGUGGCACAAGCCAGGGAGAAGCGACUGUUUAUCAAAAACACAGGGCUCUGCUAACACGUAAGUGGAUGUAUAGGGUCUGACGCCUGCCCGGUGCUGGAAGGUUAAUGCGAUGGGUGCAAGCUCAUUUCUGAAGCCCCAGUAAACGGCGGCCGUAACUAUAACGGUCCUAAGGUAGCGAAAUUCCUUGUCGGGUAAGUUCCGACCUGCAUGAAUGGCGUAACGAUUUCUCCGCUGUCUCCAACAUCAACUCAGUGAAAUUGAAUUCUCCGUGAAGAUGCGGAGUUCGCGUAGUUAGACGGAAAGACCCCGUGCACCUUUACUGCAACUUUACAUUGGUGUUAGGAAAAACAUAUUUAGCAUAGGAGGGAGACAUUGAAGCAAUGGCGUCAGUUUUUGUGGAGUCACCAGUGAAAUACCUCUUUUGUUUUUCUUGGCAUCUAACUGAUUGCCGUUAUCCGGCAUCAAGACAUUGUAUGGUGGGUAGUUUGACUGGGGCGGUCGCCUCCCA